CAGCGCCACAAGUGGCAAUCAGCAUUACUGGGCCUAAAGCGUCCGUAGCCGGUUUGGAAAAUCCUUUGUGAAAUCGUCGAGCUUAACUCGGCGGCGUGCAGGGGACACUACCAGACUUGGGACCGGUGAGGAGUCAGAGGAAUUAGAGGGGGAGCGGUAAAAUGCAAUAAUCCUUCUAAGACCACCUGUGGCGAAGGCGUCUGACCAGAACGGAUCCGACGGUGAGGGACGAAAGCUAGGGGAGCGAACCGGAUUAGAUACCCGAGUAGUCC
This 272-nucleotide ribosomal RNA is filed under the name uncultured archaeon. RNAcentral's name for it is "partial 16S ribosomal RNA". It matches the Rfam family "Archaeal small subunit ribosomal RNA", at positions 477 to 747 of the family's 1478-position model. The record is from RNAcentral.